Molecule: long non-coding RNA, 1246 nt
Organism: Astatotilapia calliptera (eastern happy)
Lineage: Eukaryota; Metazoa; Chordata; Actinopteri; Cichliformes; Cichlidae
Source: Ensembl
CAUAAAACUGUCAUUCAAUUAAUGCAGACAAUUGCCGAGGAAAACAUUUUCUCAGCUUUUUCAUAUUUCCCAUUCAUUUUUAGAUGAGUCAAAAUAUAUAUUUUGCUCAAAGCAAUAUUUUCCUCUAUGCGAAACAGCAAGUAAUGGCCGUGUCACACUGGUUAAUUUUGAAGUGGCUUACCUUUAUAAUUCCGUGCCUUCAACAGGGCGUACCCGAAGCAGUCAUUUUUAAUUUACAAAAUAGGUUUGAAGGAGUAGUGGCUGUGUUUCUGGUCUGAAAUGUGAAAAUGCUAUAUUUUGACAAGUGCAUUACAUAAUGUGCUUUUGGAGAUCUCCAGUUAACUGGUAAAAUAAAGCUCAGUCAUCCUCUAUGAGAAAUAGUUUGUGAAAUUACCAGGUUUUUUACACUGAUUGCUUCCAAAGUCAAAAUUUUAGAUGAAUACAAUCAGACUAAACCAAUUAAACAUGAACAUUUGCACUGUGUUCAUGAAUUUAUUGAACAAGUGCAGGCUGGAAAAAAGUUACUUGGAGUCAGUUGUUUCACUUGAGGACAUGAGAUUCCAGCUUUGGGUUGUAGAGUAUCCUCUUCCUGAUAAAGUGUGGAUUUCUCAUGAAAGGUUUUCCAACAAAAAAAAAAAAAAGCUUCAACAGUUUUCUGAAGACCAUCAGCUCACAAUCAGACAAACUAUCUACAUCCGUCUAUCUACUCAGAGUCACAUGUGUGCGAGAAUCUACCCCAGCUCCAGUAGGUUAAUAGGCAGGAUACACAGUCUUAAAGAGGACCAACGCAGAUAGACAGACAAUCACAAUCACUCACACCUACACCCAGUUUUUAAAUCACCAGUUGACCAAAAGUGCAUGUCUUUGGACUGUGGGAGGACCUGGCUUUAUCUACAAAGAGGGAAAAUUCAGAACUGUUGAUACUCUACCUAGGAGUGGGUGUUCUGCAAAGAUUGCAACAUACAGUCCUGAAAGGGUAAUAACAACACACCUACAGAAAUCUAAAACUGGGAAAAAUAAUCUAUGGUGAGGUUUACACCACGAGACAAAGACUCAAUAAAAAUGAAGUUAAAGGAAGAAAAUCAUGAAGAAAACCAUCACAAGUCUCGUGUUUGCAAAAAGACCACCUAGUUGUUCCAUAACAACCAGAUACAAACAUGCACAGGCUUGUUUGGAAGGGGAAAAAAGACACUGCACACCAACACUAAAACCUCUUCUCAGACGUGGGUUGGAGGGAUCAUCAUCA